GGUUAUGGGGCUAUGGUAAGGUUUAACGUUUUGGCUUUAGGUUUAAAAUCACUGUCCAAAACCUUUGUAGGAACUCUUUUUCAACCUUUUGGAGUUAGUUAGACCAAAAAAUAGGAAAAAAGAAAAAAAUAUUAUUGGGGGUUUUCGGGCUCCCUGAAAGUAAUACCCGGGUAUUAGGUUUUGGGGCUAUGGUAAGGUUUAAGUUUUUUGGCGUUAGGGUUAAAAUCACUGUCCAAAACCUUUGUAGGAACUCUUUUCCAACCUUUUGGAGUUAGUUAGACCAAAAAAUAUGAAAAAAGAAAAAAAUAUUAUUGGGGGUUUUCGGGCUUCCUGAAGGUAAUACCCAGGUAUUAGGUUUUGGGACUGGGGAAAGGUUUAAGGUUUUUGGCAUCAGGGUUAAAAUCACUGUCCAAAACCUUUGUAGGAACUCUUUUCCAACCUUUUGGAAUUAGAUAAACCAAAAAAAUAUGAAAAAAGAAAAAAUAUAUAUUUGGGGUUUUUGGGCUUCCUGAAUGUAAUACCCGGGUAUUAGAUUUUGGGGCUAUGGUAAGGUUUAAGUUUUUUGGCGUUAGGGUUAAAAUCACUGUCCAAAACCUUUGUAGGAACUCUUUUCCAACCUUUUGGAGUUAGUUAGACCAAAAAAUAUGAAAAAAGAAAAAAAUAUUAUUGGGGGUUUUCGGGCUCCCUGAAAGUAAUACCCGGGUAUUAGGUUUUGGGGCUAUGGUAAGGUUUAAGUUUUUUGGCGUUAGGGUUAAAAUCACUGUCCAAAACCUUUGUAGGAACUCUUUUCCAACCUUUUGGAGUUAGUUAGACCAAAAAAAAUGAAAAAUGAAAAAACAAUAUUUGGGGUUUUCGGGGUUCCUGAAUGUAAUACCCGGGUAUUAGAUUUUAAGGCUAGGGUAAGGUUUAAGUUUUUUGGCAUUAGGGUUAAAAUCACUGUCCAAAACCUUUGUAGGAACUCUUUUCCAACCUUUUGGAGUUAGUUAGACCAAAAAAAAAAUGAAAAAUGAAAAAAAAAUAUUUGGGGUUUUCGGGGUUCCUGAAUGUAAUACCCGGGUAUUAGAUUUUAAGGCUAGGGUAAGGUUUAAGUUUUUUGGCAUCAGGGUUAAAAUCACUGUCCAAAACCUUUGUAGGAACUCUUUUCCAACCUUUUGGAGUUAGUUACACCAAAAAGUAUGAAAAAAGAAAAAAAUAUUAUUGGGGGUUUUCGGGCUCCCUGAAAGUAAUACCCGGGUAUUAGGUUAUGGGGCUAUGGUAAGGUUUAAGUUUU
Xyrichtys novacula (pearly razorfish) is the source of this 1270-nucleotide non-coding RNA. The record is from the annotation of a GenBank genome assembly. Lineage: Eukaryota; Metazoa; Chordata; Actinopteri; Labriformes; Labridae.